Molecule: long non-coding RNA, 3203 nt
Organism: Salmo salar (Atlantic salmon)
Lineage: Eukaryota; Metazoa; Chordata; Actinopteri; Salmoniformes; Salmonidae
Source: RefSeq, a predicted model, not a curated record
GCGUAGUAAAUUGCUGUGGUUCUUUCAUGGUAAAAUCAGUUAUGCAUGGGAUUAAUGACAGUCUAUCUGGUGCCAGGGGAGUUUUCCUGAUCUGGUAACCUAACCAGGCAAAACUCUGGACUUUAUAUGGUAUGACGUGAUUCAUCUGUUGUGAAACUGUUUAAUAUGGGCUAUGAUGCGAGCAACGUUUUUCUAAUCAGGUUACGUGAUUUCUUUAAAACUCCUGGAAAAACUCAUGGCCUUGGUGAGAAUGAAAACCUUGUCAAACUGCAGCAACCUUUUACUUGUUCAUAUGAAUUAUAAUUUAAAGAAGGACUGGGGGGUUCCUAUAGACAGAGAAAGCAAUAUGACUGGACAAUAAAACUCACAGGGCUGAGCUUGCUUUAUGCAGAUUUACGUCGUGUAGUCCUGCCCUAUGCUGCUGCAGGCCUAACAAAACAUUUACUCAGUCUGUGCUAUUGUGUUUAUUGAUUAAUUGCAGUUAAUCAUUUUGAUAGAAAAUGUCUAGGUAGCUUAGUCCGGCCAAGUUUGAAUAUAAACCAAAUGUGAUAUAAUUCACAUUUUCUCACAUACAAAUGGGCUAUAGGCUAAAUAUACAAUACUUCCGCUUAAUUUACACUGGCCAGAAGGACAGGGCGCAUAGUAGUCUAGAUCAGUGUGUCAACUCCGGUCCUCCAGGACCACCAAUAGGCGCGCCUGAUUCUACUUGUCAGGUAAUCAUAAACCCCUUGAUAAGUUUAAUCAGGCGUUUUUGUCUUUGGCUAAAUUUAGGCAGCUAUAUUUAUGUAAGAGUUUUUGCAUGUCUGUCGGGAGUGAUUUGUUAUCACGCUUGCUAAAUAAAUACCGGAGGAAAGUGGAGAGCUCGACUUGCAUGUUGUGCCCGGCCAGCACAACAGGCAAAGAGCCUGCAGCAACACUCCGAUGUGAAGGACAUAUACAUUGUCAGUACCCUGUCUUGCCUGCCAGAAUUUUCAGACUGUGGCCCUGGAGUUGAAGCUCAUCAAAGUUGUUUCACCAUGGCACAUGAUUGGGGUGGACCUCAUCGAACCCUUCACAAAAUCCAGGAAUGGCAACAGCUGGUGUCUGACGGCGACCGAUCACUUUACAAAGUGGGUGGAGGCAAUACCCAUUAAGGAUGAGACUAGCGAGGCCACCUCCAAGGCCAUGGUGAACAUCUUCAACACCUACCCCCCAGGAGGUAUCCCAUCCACCAGAAGCAGUGAGUUCGGAUUAGACUGAUUCUCUGCUCUGAGUCGGCGGGGGACCAGCUUGAGGUAGGCUAUACCUUCCAAAAGUGUUGAAAAGUACAUAUCUCCCAUUUAUAACACUGCACUAAUCCAUCAAAUUUUCUCACAGUAAUGUGUAACCUGUGUGUUUGGUUGUUUACGUCUGUCUCCUACCCUGUUCCCUUUAACUCUGCUCCUGUUCUGCAUGAGCUAGGGGUUCUGCCCAACACCAGCCGUGGAUCCAACUGCCUAAGUGAAAUAAAGGUUAAAUAAAACAUAUAUAAAGAAACUGAUGUCCACCAUUACCAACCACCCUACAACUUUGCAUUACAUCAGCUACUGUUGUCAUUAUCUGCUAAGGAAGUUGUUUUUGCUCUGUCAUACCUGGCACAUAAUGUGAGAUACAGACUUAACUAAAAACACUAGCACUGCAAACACUCAGAACAAAGUGAGCAGCAGUGUCUGGACUUUGCCGUCUCCCUCUUCAAGUCCCUCUUCUGAGACUGGCUGCCUGUUGAGAACAAGUGACAGGCAGAACGUCCCCCCCAUACAGCAACCACCUCCUCUAUAUUCCAAACACCAUAAUUCAGUAUUUUAGUCUGAUUGCUAUGUGAGUGUACAAAAUCGGAGAAAAUGAAUGACACAACUGUACCAAAAACUAUCAAAGUGUAUGUAUUAAAAUCUUAAAUAUUGUCAGGUUGGUUUUCACAGCUGUUUCACAAGGUGUUCGUUGUUGUAAAUUGUAAGGUAUCCUUUGAUGGUAUUUAUUUGUUCCACAUAAUUCAUUGUUGUAUCCUAGGAUCUACAAUAGAUACAUAUAUAUUCAACCUCAAGGGUUUACUAAUGAGUUGUGUGUGAUAGAAAACAAUGAUCAUAAUAGAGGACUACAUGACAGCCAGACAAGCCAGUGUAUCAAUGGAUUGGAAAUUAGCUGAUUUAGAGAUCUGUAAGGUAAGUAACUUUAAUGUGUUAAGCAGAUUACACGUUUUCUUUGCCAUUUCCGAAACGUAGUAAUGUUUAAGACAUGGAUUUUAUGUUGCAAUGUUAACAAGGUACCCAAAAGCAGUUUGAAUUAAUGUUAUCAUUUUAUUAACUAAACACUUGUUUAAACAGCGAAAUUGUCACGGAAAUCAGCCUUGUUUGUAUGGCGAUGAUGAAAAUACGUCAUUUAGGCUGUAAUAAUCUCAAAUUCUAAUCAUUAUGUCAUCACACCGUUGAUAUAGCAACGGACGCUAAUAGUUUAUUGAAUCCAAUUGUGGCGUAGAGGGGGAUAAUAUUUGGCAUGACAGGCCCAUUACUGUCUUAAAGGGAAAUAUCACAAUUUUCAACUUCAUAUUCAUCAUCUCCAGCACCACCCCAAAAUCAAUAUGUGAAAUCGUGCGAUUCUAUGAUUUGAAGUAAAAAAGAUUGGUGUGCAUCGUGUGAUUUUGACCAAUUGUGAGUAGGCAUUGCCUACUAGUUGCCUACUGAUUGGUUGAUGAUGUCAUUGGAAACACUUAUCUUUCUAUCUGCUUUACUACAAAACAUAGAAACGUGCCAUUUUCACAUAUGUUGUUGAUGUUGGGCUGGUGCUGGAAAUAAUGAAUAUGAAGUUGCAUUUUUUAGAAAUGUCCCUUAAUUGUUACACCACACGGACAAAGUUGCUUCCAUUGAACGGUUUUAUAUAGCUGUGUUUUUGUCAAUGGAUGUACACCACUUCAGUUAGGAACAGCAUGUGAAAAUCCGUCAACAACAUAACUAUUUGCUUCUUCUCUUGCCAAGGCAAAUGCACUAACUAAAGGUGGGGGGAGACGGUGUCCUGCAGCGCAUCCAAGCGCCCUGAUUGGUUGGAUGAACAGCGGUGUGAAGGGUGAUUGACAGGGCUGCAGGCCAAUUAGGUUGAGAAGGACAGCCUUUUUUUACACUUACAGCAUAUUGUCUUUGGCGUCAUUAAAGUUAAGACUGUUAUUUUAUAAAUCAAUUCUCUGUAAUUAUUAU